RNAcentral lists this ribosomal RNA (302 nucleotides) under Sarasinula plebeia. Its description in RNAcentral is "partial 16S ribosomal RNA". It matches the Rfam family "Bacterial large subunit ribosomal RNA", at positions 1928 to 2549 of the family's 2925-position model. The record is from RNAcentral. Lineage: Eukaryota; Metazoa; Mollusca; Gastropoda; Systellommatophora; Veronicellidae.
CGGCCGCAGUACUCUGACUGUGCAAAGGUAGCAUAAUCAAUUGACUUUUAAUUGGAGUCUAGUAUGAAUGGAUUUACGUAAAAGUUCUGUCUCAAUUAAAAUUUUCUAAAAUUUUUUAGAAGGUGAAAAAACUUUCAGUAUUUAAAAGACGAGAAGACCCUAAGAAUUUUAAAAAAAUUAGUCUAUCUUUUUUGCUGGGGCGGCAGUGGAUCAAGGAACAUCCAUAUUAUCGAGUUUUCGUGUUUUAAAUUACCUUAGGGAUAACAGCACAAUUGUUACCUCGAUGUUGGACUAGGAACCUU